UUUAUCAAUAUUGUUGUUAGUUUCUUUCUGAAUUGUCUGGUCCCAGACAGGUGAAACAUAGGUCGUAUCCGAGGCAGUCAAUAAUGUGUAGGAGUACUAAAUGCACUAGACUCUGGAUUACAGAGGAUCUUCCAGGAGCCUUCAUCACGUUCACCGGAAUACAGAGAAAACCAUAAUGUGGAAGAGAACAUUCCUCCCGGAUUCAUAGGCACGCAAUUGGUGAUAAAGUGAAUCGCAUUGGAAAUAUAUACUUGUAUAGAAAAGGUUGCCGACAUAAAUGUCCCUGAAGUAUAUUCGAAACAUAAGUUGAUUAGAAAUGCAGCAAUAGAGUAAAACAAUGUGGAUAACCUGUA
Aedes aegypti (yellow fever mosquito) is the source of this 353-nucleotide long non-coding RNA. RefSeq lists it as uncharacterized. The transcript is spliced from 2 exons. NCBI's taxonomy places the organism in Eukaryota, Metazoa, Arthropoda, Insecta, Diptera, Culicidae. The record is from RefSeq and is a predicted model, not a curated record.